Non-coding RNA from Cucurbita pepo subsp. pepo (vegetable marrow), 341 nucleotides. The record is from RefSeq and is a predicted model, not a curated record. NCBI's taxonomy places the organism in Eukaryota, Viridiplantae, Streptophyta, Magnoliopsida, Cucurbitales, Cucurbitaceae.
CCAGUCUGUUGAUUGAAGGCUUCUAUGUGCCCUGUUUUGAACGUUUCUUUUUGCCUGUUUUCUUAUGCAGACUAAAAUGGUUGAUAUCUCUUUGCUCUCUGUUGCGGAAGUCAAUUGGCUGAAUGAUUACCAUUCACAAGUCUGGGAAAAGGUUUCUCCAUUGCUCGAAGGUUCUGCUCGCCAAUGGCUGUGGAACAACACUCGGCUGAUUGCAAAAUCCUGAUUCUUUGCUUUUGUUUGACAUAAUGUAUGAAUGCUGUGUAAUUUAUGGCCAUUGAAUCAGAUGUAGAAAUGAUAUGUACUCUCUACACCAUAAUGCUGAAAUGGGUUUGAACUUAAAA